RNAcentral lists this ribosomal RNA (490 nucleotides) under uncultured bacterium. RNAcentral's name for it is "bacterial SSU rRNA". It matches the Rfam family "Bacterial small subunit ribosomal RNA", at positions 21 to 507 of the family's 1533-position model. The record is from RNAcentral.
GGCUCAGAUUGAACGCUGGCGGCAUGCCUUACACAUGCAAGUCGAACGGCAGCACGGGAGCAAUCCUGGUGGCGAGUGGCGAACGGGUGAGUAAUGUAUCGGAACGUACCUUUCAGUGGGGAUAACGUAGCGAAAGUUACGCUAAUACCGCAUAUUCUGUGAGCAGGAAAGCAGGGGAUCGCAAGACCUUGCGCUGAUUGAGCGGCCGAUAUCAGAUUAGCUAGUUGGUGAGGUAAAGGCUCACCAAGGCGACGAUCUGUAGCUGGUCUGAGAGGACGACCAGCCACACUGGAACUGAGACACGGUCCAGACUCCUACGGGAGGCAGCAGUGGGGAAUAUUGGACAAUGGGCGCAAGCCUGAUCCAGCCAUGCCGCGUGGGUGAAGAAGGCCUUCGGGUUGUAAAGCCCUUUUGUCCGGAAAGAAAAGCAUUCGGUUAAUACCCGGGUGUUCUGACGGUACCGGAAGAAUAAGCACCGGCUAACUUCGUG